Molecule: unclassified non-coding RNA, 358 nt
Filed under: soil metagenome
Description: partial contains 5.8S ribosomal RNA, internal transcribed spacer 2, and large subunit ribosomal RNA
Rfam family: 5.8S ribosomal RNA (bases 1-120)
Source: RNAcentral
GAUGAAGGACGUAGCGAAAUGCGAUAAGUAAUGUGAAUUGCAGAAUUCAGUGAAUCAUCGAAUCUUUGAACGCACAUUGCGCCCGCCAGUAUUCUGGCGGGCAUGCCUGUCCGAGCGUCAUUUCAACCCUCGAACCCCUCCGGGGGGUCGGCGUUGGGGACCUCGGGAGCCCCUAAGACGGGAUCCCGGCCCCGAAAUACAGUGGCGGUCUCGCCGCAGCCUCUCCUGCGCAGUAGUUUGCACAACUCGCACCGGGAGCGCGGCGCGUCCACGUCCGUAAAACACCCAACUUCUGAAAUGUUGACCUCGGAUCAGGUAGGAAUACCCGCUGAACUUAAGCAUAUCAAUAAGCGGAGGA